Molecule: long non-coding RNA, 285 nt
Filed under: Lathyrus oleraceus (garden pea)
Lineage: Eukaryota; Viridiplantae; Streptophyta; Magnoliopsida; Fabales; Fabaceae
Description: Pisum sativum (pea) long non-coding RNA (PSAT_LNC008259)
Source: RNAcentral
UUUUAAUGAAUUUUUGAAAAUGAAAUGAAUUAACAAAAAAUAAAAAGAAAAAUGAAAUAAGCGAAAAAGCCUAAGCCACAUGAUGCAAUUCAUUAAUUGGUGUGGCACUUGUGGAUGGCUGGGAUCUGAGGACACACACUAGGCUUAAGUCAAACACGCCACAUCAUGAAUUAAAAUAAGUAAUUAAAAAGGACGUGUGAGAUUAGAUCGUGGGAGCAAGAUCCAAUGGUCCGGGGCAAAACACGUGGUGGUGGUGGUGAAAACCACCAUCUUCUCCGGCCAGAC